This 402-nucleotide ribosomal RNA is filed under the name haloarchaeon 2A3B_DGR. RNAcentral describes it as "bacterial SSU rRNA". It matches the Rfam family "Archaeal small subunit ribosomal RNA", at positions 143 to 546 of the family's 1478-position model. The record is from RNAcentral. Lineage: Archaea; Methanobacteriati; Methanobacteriota; Halobacteria; Halobacteriales.
GGGAUAAUUGGUCACACGCUUUCAACCGGGAUGAUGAAAGCCCCAAACGCUCCGGCGCCGAAGGAUGUGGCUGCGGCCGAUUAGGUAGACGGUGGGGUAACGGCCCACCGUGCCGAUAAUCGGUACGGGUUGUGAGAGCAAGAACCCGGAGACGGAAUCUGAGACAAGAUUCCGGGCCCUACGGGGCGCAGCAGGCGCGAAACCUUUACACUGCACGACAGUGCGAUAAGGGGACCCUGAGUGCACAGGCAUAGUGCCUGUGCUUUUCUCGACCGUAGGGAGGUCGAGGAACAAGAGCUGGGCAAGACCGGUGCCAGCCGCCGCGGUAAUACCGGCAGCUCGAGUGAUGGCCGAUCUUAUUGGGCCUAAAGCGUCCGUAGCUGGCCAGGCAAGUCCGUCGGG